UACGGAAGGCAGCAGUGGGGAAUAUUGCACAAUGGGCGCAAGCCUGAUGCAGCCAUGCCGCGUGUAUGAAAAGGCCUUCGGGUUGUAAAGUACUUUCUAGUCGUGAGGAAGGUGUUAAGGUUAAUAACCUUAGCAAUUGACGUUAGCGACAGAAGAAGCACCGGCUAACUCCGUGCCAGCAGCCGCGGUAAUACGGAGGGUGCGAGCGUUAAUCGGAAUUACUGGGCGUAAAGGGCACGCAGGCGGUUAAUUAAGUUGGAUGUGAAAUCCCCGGGCUUAACCUGGGAAUGGCAUUCAAGACUGGUUAGCUAGAGUCUUGUAGAGGGGGUAGAAUUCCAUGUGUAGCGGUGAAAUGCGUAGAGAUGUGGAGGAAUACCGGUGGCGAAGGCGGCCCCCUGGACAAAAGACUGACGCUCAUGUGCGAAAGCGUGGGGAGCAAAACAGCAUUAGAUACC
RNAcentral lists this ribosomal RNA (455 nucleotides) under uncultured bacterium. RNAcentral describes it as "bacterial SSU rRNA". It matches the Rfam family "Bacterial small subunit ribosomal RNA", at positions 340 to 786 of the family's 1533-position model. The record is from RNAcentral.